AGUGAACGCUGGCGGUAGGCCUAACACAUGCAAGUCGAACGGCAGCACAGUAAGAGCUUGCUCUUACGGGUGGCGAGUGGCGGACGGGUGAGGAAUACAUCGGAAUCUACUUUUUCGUGGGGGAUAACGUAGGGAAACUUACGCUAAUACCGCAUACGACCUACGGGUGAAAGCAGGGGAUCUUCGGACCUUGCGCGAUUGAAUGAGCCGAUGUUGGAUUAGCUAGUUGGCGGGGUAAAGGCCCACCAAGGCGACGAUCCGUAGCUGGUCUGAGAGGAUGAUCAGCCACACGGGAACUGAGACACGGUCCAGACUCCUGCGGGAGGCAGCAGUGGGGAAUAUUGGACAAUGGGCGCAAGCCUGAUCCAGCCAUACCGCGUGGGUGAAGAAGGCCUUCGGGUUGUAAAGCCCUUUUGUUGGGAAAGAAAAGCAGCAGGUUAAUACCCCGCUGUUCUGACGGUACCCAAAGAAUAAGCACCGGCUAACUUCGUG
RNAcentral lists this ribosomal RNA (492 nucleotides) under uncultured bacterium. Its description in RNAcentral is "partial 16S ribosomal RNA". It matches the Rfam family "Bacterial small subunit ribosomal RNA", at positions 29 to 507 of the family's 1533-position model. The record is from RNAcentral.